AGACUCGGGGUGCUGGCAGCGGCAGCCCACGCCUCCCAGGGAUUGCAGGCCUGGGCGCCGGGGUUGGACCAGUCUCCCGGGCAUGGCACGCCCUGGUUAUUCUGUACCCGUGAUUUGUGGCGGGGCAAGACGUUAAGUUGGGUGACACCGAGGUGAGCCACGGUCCUCGGCACCAGAUGAGGAACCACUGUCUCAAUAAGUGACACCAGUGAUGCUGUUAAACAAGGACAAUCCGGUUCAUGGAUUGUGACAACGCACGCUGACAUCAAGCAGACCCUGCCGUCAGGUACAGAGGGCACCACAGUGACCAGGAACUGCUGUCCUUUCAUACCAGGUUUUAGGAGGCUUUACCAGAAGGAAUGGAAAAUGCUGGUGGGCAGUAAGAUUGAAACAGCAUCUGAGGACUGGUUCUGCACAAAACCUUAAAUUCUUCAAGGACUUUGACAUUUGUUUAUUCUUGUAACAAAUUAAAACCUAUCCUGUGUGUUGGUUAGAGAUCUUCAAACUGUAAAUACCUUGAGGCAGGAGUGAGGUUUUUAUCUUUUAAAGGACAGGCCCCUACUCUCCUACGUAAUGAGUUUCUAAAAAUGGAUGUGAGCACCAAUCAAUAUUUCUCUGGUUGUUAAAGUCAAGAAUAAAAUGGUAUUUUUAAGCUCGCAACUGUGUAGGAUGAAUUCUGUACACUUUUAUUUCCCUCUGUUCUCCUUUCCUAUUUGAAAGUUUAUUAGUUUGUGGACUUGGGAUCGGAUUAUUCAUGCAUUAUUUUUUGAUGUUGUAUGUCUCUUGGUUCUUGGGUAUUUUUGACACAUAUUCUGUCUUGUAACCAUAGUUAAACAAUUGUUUUAGACCAACUCUCUGUGUGUAAUUGGCUUCAACACUCACUGCUAGUCCUUUGACGCUCUGUUUUUUUCCAUUCUUGAGUAAUUUUAAGUCAUCACUUGGGCAGUUGAAAUAUAUUUUAAAGUGAUUUAAAGAAUAUGUGAGUGGCAGACAUUCUGAACUCUUUUGGUUGUCUGUCCUCAAAAACUAAAACUUAUUUGUGAGUAAAAUUUUCAUCUAAGUGUUUUCCAUAUAAAAACUCUGUCAGCUACUGCUCCAUUGUAGUAGACACAAAAAAGUCAGCACAAUUUUCAUCCCUCCCUCCCUCCCUUCUCUUCCCCUUCCCCUUCUUGCCCUCCUUCCUUCCUUCCUUCUUUCCUUCCUUCCUUCCUUCCUUCCUUCCUUCCUUCCUUCCUUCCUUUUUCUUUUGUUUCUGAAUGUACAAAGAAAACACUUAAAAAUUUGCUUGUAAUUUAAAAACUUGUCAGGAUAUUUCUGGAUUUGAGUGUUUCUUGGUUACUUUUACCUGGAACCUGGUGAACUGAGUCCAUUCCUCUGUUUGCCCUUUCUGUACUUUUUUGGAAAGUUUUCUUUAAUUAUAUCUUCAAUUAUUGUUUCUCUUUUGAUUGUUCUAGAUUCUUCUUCAGAAACAUAACUCUUAGGCUCAAUCUCUAUUCCUGGUCUUCCAUAGCUAUCGUCUUCUUUUUAAAGUACUGUAUUUUAUUGAAUCUAAGCUAGUAUUUGUUGUAAGAAGCACUAUUAUUAUAUGUACAACUAAGGAAG
Molecule: long non-coding RNA, 1602 nt
Filed under: Homo sapiens (human)
Lineage: Eukaryota; Metazoa; Chordata; Mammalia; Primates; Hominidae
Description: non-protein coding lnc-PTS-1:26
Source: RNAcentral